Molecule: microRNA precursor, 124 nt
Filed under: Hordeum vulgare
Lineage: Eukaryota; Viridiplantae; Streptophyta; Magnoliopsida; Poales; Poaceae
Description: microRNA MIR1122
Rfam family: MIR1120/MIR1122 microRNA precursor family
Source: RNAcentral
UAAAUACUACCUCCGUCCGGAAAUACUUGUCCUAGAGAUGAAUGUAUCUAGACUUAUUUUAAUUAUAAAUACAUCCAUUAUAUGCAUUUUUAGGACAAGUAUUUCCGGACGGAGGGAGUAUAAA